UGGGGAAUUUUGGACAAUGGGCGCAAGCCUGAUCCAGCCAUGCCGCGUGCGGGAAGAAGGCCUUCGGGUUGUAAACCGCUUUUGUCAGGGAAGAAAUCUUCUGAGUUAAUACCUCGGGAGGAUGACGGUACCUGAAGAAUAAGCACCGGCUAACUACGUGCCAGCAGCCGCGGUAAUACGUAGGGUGCAAGCGUUAAUCGGAAUUACUGGGCGUAAAGCGUGCGCAGGCGGUUUUGUAAGACAGAGGUGAAAUCCCCGGGCUCAACCUGGGAACUGCCUUUGUGACUGCAAGGUUUUGAGUGCGGGCAGAGGGGGGCAAUGGGAAUUUCCCGCGUGUAGCAGUGAAAUGCGUAGAUAUGCGGAGGAACACCGAUGGCGAAGGCAA
RNAcentral lists this ribosomal RNA (385 nucleotides) under uncultured bacterium. Its description in RNAcentral is "partial 16S ribosomal RNA". It matches the Rfam family "Bacterial small subunit ribosomal RNA", at positions 355 to 724 of the family's 1533-position model. The record is from RNAcentral.